Molecule: ribosomal RNA, 448 nt
Filed under: uncultured bacterium
Lineage: Bacteria
Description: bacterial SSU rRNA
Rfam family: Bacterial small subunit ribosomal RNA
Source: RNAcentral
UCGAGAAUUUUUCUCAAUGGGGGAAACCCUGAAGGAGCGACGCCGCGUGGAGGAUGAAGGUCUUCGGGUUGUAAACUCCUGUCAUUUGGGAACAAGUGCCGGUAAGUAACUACUACCGGCUUGAUAGUACCAGAAGAGGAAGGGACGGCUAACUCUGUGCCAGCAGCCGCGGUAAUACAGAGGUCCCAAGCGUUGUUCGGAUUCAUUGGGCGUAAAGGGUGCGUAGGUGGCGCGGUAAGUCGGGUGUGAAAUUUCGGAGCUUAACUCCGAAACUGCAUUCGAUACUGCCGUGCUUGAGGACUGGAGAGGAGACUGGAAUUUACGGUGUAGCAGUGAAAUGCGUAGAGAUCGUAAGGAAGACCAGUGGCGAAGGCGGGUCUCUGGACAGUUCCUGACACUGAGGCACGAAGGCCAGGGGAGCAAACGGGAUUAGAUACCCCUGUAGUCC